Molecule: non-coding RNA, 769 nt
Organism: Camellia sinensis
Lineage: Eukaryota; Viridiplantae; Streptophyta; Magnoliopsida; Ericales; Theaceae
Source: RefSeq, a predicted model, not a curated record
GUCACAUUGUGAGCAAAAUAUUUUUCCUUGUAAAACUCUUGGAUGACUGGUUGCCUCUUUCUUUAUUGUAGGGUUGGUGGCUUUUGAGUAACAAGGUGGAGCUAACAACAGCUGCUGUUAUUGCAAAUGGCAUUGUUUUUCUGACUGGGUAUCGGGUUUUUAGAGGUGCUAACAAGCAGAAGCAUGUAUUCAAAAAGAACCCUAAAGCGCCAAUAUGGGGUAGGCCUCCAAAAGUUAUAGGGGGAAAGUUGCUGGCUUCUGGUUAUUGGGGAAUUGCAAGGCACUGUAAUUACCUUGGCGAUUUACUGGUGGCUUCUUCCUUCAGUUUACCCUGUGGGAUAAGUUCCCCAGUUCCGUACUUCUAUCCAGUUUAUCUUCUUAUUCUGCUAAUAUGGAGAGAGAGAAGAGAUGAAGCUCGGUGCGCAGAGAAGUAUAGAGAAGUGUGGGCAGAGUACUGCAAACUCGUUCCAUGGAGGAUAUUACCAUAUGUUUAUUAACCGGCUCAUUGACUAGAUGUAAUCCCGGGUUGUUGCCAAAAUUGGUCUUGUUGGCAUGUAGUACUGUGAUGCGGAGAGAGAACAUAUAUGGUCCAAAUGAGGAUUGUUGCUACCAUAAGAAUUGUGCAUUUUGGAAGAACUUUGCUAUUGUUGUUUGUACUUUGUGUAUAUUCUUUUGAGUUUUUGAUGGAUUUUGUCAAAUUCUAGAAAACCAAUUUUGUGGGUUUUCAGUAAAUUGAGGGUUUUAUCUAUUGAGGUUUUCAUCAAAAAAA